GACGAACGCUGGCGGCAUGCCUAAUACAUGCAAGUCGAGCGAACAGAUGAAGUGCUUGCACUUCUGACGUUAGCGGCGAACGGGUGAGUAACACGUAAGGAAUCUACCUAUAAGCGGGGGAUAACAUUCGGAAACGGGUGCUAAUACCGCAUAAUAUCUUCUUCCGCAUGGAAGAAGAUUGAAAGACGGCUCUGCUGUCACUCAUAGAUGACCUUGCGGUGCAUUAGUUAGAUGGUGGGGUAACGGCAUACCAAGACGAUGAAGGAUCACAUGCCCGGGAAGGGGCUGGCGAACAUGGAGUCUGAGACACGGCCGAAACUCCUGCGGGAGGCAGCAUUAGGGAAUCUUCCGCAAUGGGCGAAAGCCUGGCGGAGCAAUGCCGCGUGAGUGAAGAAGGCCUUCGGGUCGUAAAACUCUGUUAUAAGAGAAGAAAAAAUUGUAGAGUAACUGCUACAGUCUUUAUGGUAUCUUAGCAGAAAGCCACGGCUAACUACGUGCCAGCCGCCGCCGUAA
This 513-nucleotide ribosomal RNA is filed under the name uncultured bacterium. RNAcentral describes it as "partial 16S ribosomal RNA". It matches the Rfam family "Bacterial small subunit ribosomal RNA", at positions 28 to 523 of the family's 1533-position model. The record is from RNAcentral.